UUUACCAUGAAUUGUACAUUCAAGACAGUCAAUAACCACAGCACCAUGUAUGUGCGAUGGUACAACUAUGGGACUGAGGGACUAAAGAAAGAGUUGGUGAAUGAGAGCGAUGUGCUCACAACCCUGCAUUUGGACAAUGGGUUUGCCUCUCUCACUUUGAAGAAUGCGAAUUCAUCUGAUACAGGAACCUAUGUGUGUGAGGUGGGGAUCACAGCAAGGAACCUCUCUGGGAAUGGAACAGGAACCCAAGUGACCAUCGAGAAAUUUCCCAAGCUGAUGGUGAAUCAGACCCCAGUCAAUAUCCAUGCGUCAGAAGGGUCAGAUCUCACCGUGGAGUGUAGAUUCACGGUAUGGAAUAAACACAAGACCUUGUAUGUGAAAUGGUAUAAACAUAGCGGAACUGGGGGAACGAAGAAGGAGCUGGUGAGUGAAAGAGGCGGGGGGCCAGCAGCCCUGGCUUUGGAAAAGGGUUUUGCUUCGUUCACUCUGAAGAACGUGAAUAUAACCAAUACAGGAACCUACGUGUGUGAGGUGGGGAGCACAGCGAGGAACUGGUCUGCAUCAGGAGCCGGAACCCAAGUGACCAUCACUCCUGUUGACCUGCUGGUGAAUCAGAGCCCUGCCUGUGUCAAGGAAGAGGAAGGAAAAAAGCUGACCAUAGAAUGUAGAUUCAGGGCCCUGGAGAAACCCAGCACCAAGUACUCUGUUAAAUGGUAUAAAAACGGGACCGAUGGAGACGAGAAGGAGCUGAAAAACGAAACGGGCUCAGUCACAACAACUCUAGAUUUCUCAACGGGCCUGGCUUCUCUGACCUUGACUAAAGCCAGCGUGAGUGAUUCUGGGUUCUACAGAUGUGACUUCGGUAAAAAUGGCCAUGGGAAUGGAACCAGAGUGACGAUCCAGGAUAAAAGGAGCAAUGCCUCCCACGUUGUUUUCGUCAUCCGGAUGGUUCUCGGGGCCCUUGUUAUAAUCUCGGCGGUGAUGAUUGUUGCAGAGUGCGUGAUUUCAGAGAAGAGGGGUGAGUGAAAUGUCUUCAGUGCAGUCCCUGUGCAGAAUCAGCCACAGAGCUUGAGUUACACGCGAGGUCCUUCUGCCUUUUCCUUCUGGGCAACUUCCCAGUCCCAGUGCGUUGAAAUCGAAAAGCUGUUUCAGACCCGGCUGGGACUGUUUCCUUGGCCUGUCUGUUCUGGUUUCUGUCUAACCAGAAAUCCGGGUAUCUCAGAACUAGAAGCACAGAGUUUAGGUCUCCAUCUUGUAAAUGUUCCUGAAGGCCUUUACCUCUCAGGUCUCCCUUUCACAGCACCGAUGAUCUUUUCCUGUUGCUGCGUCUGUCCAACGUGCCCUGUUUAUUUCUGGCUGGCUGGCACGCACGGAGCUAAUGCAACCACUUGGACAAGUGUGCUGCACGUACUGCAGGAGUAUUCUUUAGGUUCUAACUUACUGAGUCUGAUUUUUCCCCACAGCUGGUGUCAAUCGGACAAUAUGAGGAUUAGCUGUUAUAGCGUACCCUUGGAGAUGGAGCUCUCAGACACCUGUUACCCAGGCAUUCCCCCAAACACCGUGUUGACCAACCAGCCUGUCAGAUUCUGCACCUGCAAAUAAACCUUGAACAGAAGGGAGGGGAUGCUGGAUA
Molecule: long non-coding RNA, 1633 nt
Filed under: Chrysemys picta bellii (western painted turtle)
Lineage: Eukaryota; Metazoa; Chordata; Testudines; Emydidae
Description: lncRNA (ENSCPBG00000016816.1)
Source: RNAcentral